Molecule: unclassified non-coding RNA, 278 nt
Filed under: uncultured Xylariales
Lineage: Eukaryota; Fungi; Ascomycota; Sordariomycetes; Xylariales
Description: sequence contains 5.8S rRNA gene, ITS2, 28S rRNA gene
Source: RNAcentral
AACGCACAUUGCGCCCAUUAGUAUUCUAGUGGGCAUGCCUGUUCGAGCGUCAUUUCAACCCUUAAGCCUAGCUUAGUGUUGGGAGUCUACGAGUGGGCCACGUUACCCUGUAGCGUGGUUACCCUGUAGUUCCUGAAAAUCAACGGCGGAUUUACAGUAUCCUCUGAGCGUAGUAAUUCUUUAUCUCGCUUCUGCUUAGGUGCUGUGACUUCGGCCGCUAAACCCCCCAAUUUUUUGUGGUUGACCUCGGAUCAGGUAGGAAUACCCGCUGAACUUAA